CGCCUGUUUAUCAAAAACAUGGCCUUUUGAUUAUAAUCUAAGGUCUAACCUGCCCACUGAGUAGUUAAAUGGCCGCGGUACACUGACCGUGCAAAGGUAGCAUAAUCAUUAGUUUCUUAAUUUGAAGCUGGAAUGAAUGGUUGAACAAGAAAAUGGCUGUCUCUAUUUAAAAUUUAGAAUUUUAUUUUUAAGUAAAAAAGCUUAAAUGUAGUUAAAAGACGAGAAGACCCUAUAGAGUUUUAUAUUUUUUUAUAUUUGAAUUUUUAGUAUUAUUACCUUAUUUAUAAAAAUUUAUUUGGUUGGGGAGAUUGAAAAAUUUAAUUAACUUUUUUUAUAUCGAUACAUAUAUUUAUGAGAAAUUGAUCCAUUUUUAUGAUUAUAAGAUUAAAUUACCUUAGGGAUAACAGCGUAA
RNAcentral lists this ribosomal RNA (412 nucleotides) under Dorysthenes fossatus. RNAcentral's name for it is "partial 16S ribosomal RNA". The stretch from base 1 to 205 matches the Rfam family "Archaeal large subunit ribosomal RNA", at positions 1889 to 2143 of the family's 2987-position model. Lineage: Eukaryota; Metazoa; Arthropoda; Insecta; Coleoptera; Cerambycidae. The record is from RNAcentral.